UGCAUGACCGUCUCUUCCUGC
Molecule: microRNA, 21 nt
Filed under: Physcomitrium patens
Lineage: Eukaryota; Viridiplantae; Streptophyta; Bryopsida; Funariales; Funariaceae
Also listed under: 1 other name
Description: ppt-miR1211-3p
Source: miRBase by way of RNAcentral